AAGUCGAACGAGGCUUCGGCCUAGUGGCGAACGGGUGCGUAACACGUUGGAACCUGCCCUGAACUCAGGGAUAACAUCUAGAAAUAGGUGCUAAUACCGGAUAGUCCCGAAAGGGUAAAGAUUUUUCGGUUCAGGAGGGUCCUGCGGCCUAUCAGCUUGUUGGUGAGGUAAUAGCUCACCAAGGCUAUGACGGGUAGCUGGUCUGAGAGGAUGAUCAGCCACAAUGGGACUGAGACACGGCCCAUACUCC
RNAcentral lists this ribosomal RNA (250 nucleotides) under uncultured bacterium. RNAcentral's name for it is "partial 16S ribosomal RNA". It matches the Rfam family "Bacterial small subunit ribosomal RNA", at positions 59 to 339 of the family's 1533-position model. The record is from RNAcentral.